RNAcentral lists this long non-coding RNA (1074 nucleotides) under Gossypium barbadense (sea-island cotton). RNAcentral describes it as "long non-coding RNA (GBAR_LNC012059)". The record is from RNAcentral. Lineage: Eukaryota; Viridiplantae; Streptophyta; Magnoliopsida; Malvales; Malvaceae.
CAAGAAAAUAGAUCCUUUGUGUUCAAAAGGUUUUCUUGCUUGCUUAAUCAAUAGGUUGUUCUGUUUCCUAAAAUAUGAUGGUAUUCACAGGGCAUUAGACAAGAUUAAAAAUGAUUUAGAUUUAGGUGGAAUAGAAAGGUAAAUGGUCAACCUUGCCAGGCAAAGAAUUGUAACCAAAGAUGCUGGACAGAUGGCUGAACUAGACAAGCAGUCACAUCUCUUAAUAGAAAUUCUUGUAGUAUUAAAGAACACAAAAACAAUGUCUUUUGGUGUAAGAAUACACAUGAACUAUCCAACUCUGACAAACAAGAGCAAAGCGGAUUACCUGCUGGUCAUCAUCAUUUUCAGCAUGGGUUAUUCCUAGCAAUCUCCAACCUUCAGCAUUCUCAGGAUUUUUCAUAACUUCAGCCUCUAGUGCAAGCACUGCUUCUCUCAAAAGUCCUUUCCUGAAUAGCUCUUGACCUUCUUUUAAAGGAUUUUGAUGACCAACAUAUGGAUUCAUAUCAGAAAAUAUAUACCCUUGAAGCGUCCGACCGCUGAGGAACCUACAAGUUUUCAGAACCAAAACAUCUAUAUAGAAUUAAAAGAGGUUAUAAAGCGAACUUCUUCAAGGCUACCAGUUAUCAGACGAACUAUCUCCCAAAGCCCCCUCACCAACUUGACGACCAAAUUAUUCUGCCCAGUCAUCAACAUGCAAUUUUGAUAAUUCAUUGACCCAUUGAUCAUCGACAGACUCUUGUUGCAAUCUUACAGCACCAAAUUCAUUGGCCCAAUGGUCAGGUCGACGGAAAACCUAUUAACCAUCAAGUCAAGAACAUUUAAUGAAAUGAAGAAAAUUUUAAUAAUUAAAAAAGAAAUCGAGCAAAAACAAAUUGCAAAAGUCAUGAUUAUUCUAGUUGCAAAUCUAAAUAAAAAAGAACGCAUUCACUAACCAACAAUUAAUUGAGCUAAAAGAAGACAAAAAAUGAAGGAUAGUGUUUCAUAACCAGGCAAAGAAUCAUAACCAAAGAUGCUGAACAGAUGGCUGAACUAGACAAGCAGUCACAUCUCUUAAUAUAAAUUCUUGUAGUAUUA